This 66-nucleotide transfer RNA is filed under the name Crunomys whiteheadi (Whitehead's spiny rat). RNAcentral describes it as "Maxomys whiteheadi (Whitehead's spiny rat) tRNA-Lys". The record is from RNAcentral. Lineage: Eukaryota; Metazoa; Chordata; Mammalia; Rodentia; Muridae.
CACUGCGAAGCUAAGAGCGUUAACCUUUUAAGUUAAAGUUAGAGAUUCCCAAUUCUCCACAGUGAC